Molecule: ribosomal RNA, 279 nt
Filed under: uncultured bacterium
Lineage: Bacteria
Description: partial 16S ribosomal RNA
Rfam family: Bacterial small subunit ribosomal RNA
Source: RNAcentral
UGCCAGCCGCCGCGGUAAUACCGGGGGGGCAACCGUCGUUCGGAAUUAUUGGGCGUAAAGGGCGCGUAGGCGGCCCAACAAGUCAGCUGUGAAAGCCCUCGGCUUAACCGAGGAAUUGCAAUUGAUACUGUUGCGCUUGAGUCCCGGAGAGGAUAGCUGAAUUCCCAGUGUAGCGGUGAAAUGCGUAGAUAUUGGGAGGAACACCAGUGGCGAAGGCGGCUAUCUGGACAAAGACUGACGCUCAUGUGCGAAAGUGUGGGUAGCGAACAGGAUUAGAUA